Molecule: ribosomal RNA, 492 nt
Filed under: uncultured bacterium
Lineage: Bacteria
Description: partial 16S ribosomal RNA
Rfam family: Bacterial small subunit ribosomal RNA
Source: RNAcentral
AGUGAACGCUGGCGGUAGGCCUAACACAUGCAAGUCGAACGGCAGCACAGUAAGAGCUUGUUCUUACGGGUGGCGAGUGGCGGACGGGUGAGGAAUACAUCGGAAUCUAUUUUUUCGUGGGGGAUAACGUAGGGACACUUACGCUAAUACCGUAUACGACCUACGGGUGAAAGCAGGGGAUCUUCGGACCUUGCGCGAUUGAAUGAGCCGAUGUCGGAUUAGCUAGUUGGCGGGGUAAAGGCCCACCACGGCGACGAUCCGUAUCUGGUCUGAGAGGAUGAUCAGCCACACUGGAACUGAGACACGGGCCAGACUCCUACGGGAGGCAGCAGUGGGGAAUAUUGGACAAUGGGCGCACGCCUGAUCCAGCCAUACCGCGUGGAUGAAGAAGGCCUUCGGGUUGUAAAGCCCUUUUGGUGGGAAAGAAGAGCAGCAAGUUAAUACCCCGCUGUUCUGACGUUACCCAAAGAAUAAGCACCGGCUAACUUCGUG